AGCAGUCGCCGCGGUAAUACGUAGGGGGCAAGCGUUAUCCGGAUUUACUGGGUGUAAAGGGAGCGCAGACGGCUCUGCAAGUCUGAAGUGAAAGCCCGCGGCUUAACCGCGGGACUGCUUUGGAAACUGCAAGGCUUGAGUAUCGGAGGGGCAGGCGGAAUUCCUAGUGUAGCGGUGAAAUGCGUAGAUAUUAGGAAGAACACCGGUGGCGAUGGCGGCCUGCUGGACGAAAACUGACGUUGAGGCUCGAAGGCGUGGGGAGCAAACAGGAUUAGAUACCCGAGUAGUCCCUGUCUCUUAUAC
RNAcentral lists this ribosomal RNA (303 nucleotides) under uncultured bacterium. RNAcentral describes it as "partial 16S ribosomal RNA". It matches the Rfam family "Bacterial small subunit ribosomal RNA", at positions 507 to 807 of the family's 1533-position model. The record is from RNAcentral.